UGCUGAGUAAAAAGUCCACAUAUUUUUUAACAGAUCUACAAAAAAAAUCGAUCGGCAAUUGCUUCGGAUGAUCAAAUCACUUCGGGCACAAACUUUAAAUUGAACUGAAACCACAUACUAGCAUAGCAUUAACCACGAAAUUAGAGUACCAAACGCACCACAUAAAACACACGUACCGUAAAAGAUCACACCUGGACACACCAUGCAAAACCAAACGACAGACGUAUUAGAAUACAGAAGCAACACCCACAAGUUUCUCCCUUUUUACUCGGUAGCUAGCUAGGUGACUACUUCUUACGGAGGUCGCUCCGCAGGUCGCGGAAGUAGGUUUUGGGGUCCUCCUCGAAGGGAGCCCGGAGUAUGUGCAUGUCCCUCCCGGGGGCUUUCAUGGUCUUUUCUUCUUCGCCGGGCUCGGAUGAGUCACUGCGCAGGUUGCGGAAGUAGGCAGCGGGGUCCUCCUCAAAGGGACGCCGGGGUAUGCGCAUGUCCCUCCCGGGAGCUUUCAUGGUCUUUUCUUCUUCGCUGGGCAUGGACGAGUGGCUCCGCAGGUCACGGAAGUAGGUAGCAGGGUCCUCCUCGAAGGUACGCCGGAGUAUGCGCAUGUCCCUCCCGGGAGCUUUCAUGGUCUUUUCUUCUUCGGCAGGCUUGGACGAUUCGGCCAUCAGGCUCACCACGCCUGCACCCAAGGCCAAGAUCGCCGCGCCGGCGAUCGCUCCUGCGGCGAGGGCAGAUGAGCUGCUAGACUCCUUGGCCAAGGCAGUGUCACCUGACUCCUUGUUCUCACCAUCUCCCUCUCCACCUUUGCUCUCGCUUGCGCCCAUAUGGAGCUUGGACUUGGGAUAUGCCUUCGGAUAUGGUAAAAGUUUCGAGGUUUCUCUAGCGUCAAAGUGUGAGUGUUCUAUGCUUUGUUCUUAGGGUGAGAGGUGAGUCUUUGGGGGUUACUUUAUAGCGGCUUUGGUGGCUUUGGAGCUUGGACAUGGGAGUAAUUUCAUGACUUAAUGCUGUGCAUUGGAAAACGUCGACCUUGACCUUGACCUUAACCUUCACUUGAAGCAAUUCGUUUCUCGAUGCUCACUCACUCUUUCUGCGUCGAAGACGGAUGAGGCUUGCACUGCUUAAAUUUCCGAUAACAACUUUAGUAGAAAAAACAAAGGAAAAGUGGACGUGGGGGACCCAUCCUAAUGUGGAAAAGAAGACCGCCCAUGCUUUAGCAUGCCUUUGAGCAGUCAUCGCUCCUGCCUAUUUCGCCCCUUCUUUUCCCGUACUGCAAGAUGUUUCUUUUCAUUUAUUUAAUUUGAAAAAGGGAUAAUGACAUAAAUGAUUUCUAAGUAUUGACUCAAUAUAUAAUGUGAUCUCUAAACUUUUAAUUUAUUUAAUGUGGCCAAUGAAUUUCUAAUUUGUUCGAGGUAAUAUCUGAACUUUUGAUAAAUGUUCAAUUUAGUCUUUAGAUUAUUAUAUCCCUAGAUUCAACUAGUCCCCAAAUUAUCUAAUCCAAGGACUAGAUUGAACAUUUACCAAAAAAUUAUGAACCACAUUGAACAAAUUAAAAGUUCAAAAAUUACAUUGCACUUUAGGUUAAAGUUUAGGGAACACAUUAAACAUUGAAUCAAAGUUCAGAGAUCAUUUGUGUCAUUUUCUCUUUACUACUAAAAACACUAAACUAUACAUUCUAUAAUACAUUUAUCCCAAACUUUUUUUUUUGUAACACUAAAAACCUUCAAUUUAUGCCCAAUUGAUAGUUAUCCCAUUUUGACGUGUAGCACCGAUGUGGUGCCACUUCAGCACCACAUUUGAAAAAUUUUAAAAUAAAAAGGGUUAAUAGCACGGAAAAUCCAAAAUUGGUACACUUAUGACAAAUUUAUCUUAAACUAAUUUUUUAACCACAAAAAAUCAUAAACUGAUACACUUGUAAUAAAUUUAUCAUUUGUUAAUUUCUAUUAAUUUACCUUUAAGUUGCCGAGUUGGAUGGCGUAUAAUAGUUGACGAAUGUACAAGUUUGUGAUUUUACCCUUCAUUUGUCAUAUGUGUAUUAGUUUGUGGAUUUUUUUUUUUUCAUAAUAUUAAUUCAAUUUAACGGAAAUUAUCGAAACGUAAAUUUGUUCGUUGGAAGAUUAGCAAACAAUAGUGAAUGCUUACACUGCCAUGACUCUCCAAGGCAUAUUCCAUGAUAUGGUGAAAUUCCAUGGAUUCAAGAAAAAAAAGGUUCAACAAUUACUAAUGAAAUGGAUUAAAGACGUGGGGAGUAGCCCCAAUAGUGCAAAAGCUCGUGAGAAAGAGGAAGAACAUAGUAAAAUGGAUAGCUUGGGCUACUCCAUAUCUCAACAAGCUCGGCCACAAACAAAAUGCAAAAUUGGGUUUAAAUUUUAUUCUCAUAACUCGUCAUGCUAAAGCCUGAGCCUAGUGAAAGCAGAGCUUGGUGAGCACGAUUGAGGGAAAAAUGAAAGAAAAAAAACCAUUAGUUGGGAGUGACCAAAGCGAGAUCUCACUCUUGAAUGUUGAGCAAGGUUCAUUGUCACCGGUUAGAUUCGAGGUGGCUGAGCCCCUAAGUUCUCGCUCCUAGGUCAGGGAGGCAUGGACAACCUCGAUGAAGGUCGUUGUCCGUGGAUGAGUGCUCGAAAUUGGUGAACAGUGCAUCCUAAAUAAUGAAAAGUAAUCGCGAUAAUAGUGCUUCAAAUUUUUUCGUUUUUGUUUAAAUUUUUUUAAUGGGCCGCUUGCAUGGAACCACAUCAGUGCCAAGUCGGAGCCACGCCAAAUUUCAAUGGCAAUAUUUUAAUGGAAUCCUAACAAAAGGGUAAAUAUGUUACUUGGGUAUUGGUUUGGGAUAAAAAAAAAAUUGAGGAAACGUGCCAUUGUGGGCAUAAUUUAGUGUUUUUGGUGGUUUUUCUUUAACAAGGAAAAGAAGAUGGGGGGCCAUACUAACAUGGAAAAGAAGACUUGCUAAUGCUUUAGUGUGCCUUUGAGCUGUCGGCAAGAAAUCAUUCAUUAUUACUCCUACCUGUUUUGCCAGUUGUCGAAAAAAAAAAAAUUCAUUAUUGCUCCUAUAUAUUUUGCCCUUUCUUUUCUUGUACUACAAGAUGCUUAUUUUCAUAAUUUAAUUUGGAGAAGGGAUGGUGAGAUAAAUGGUCUAUGAACUUUGGUUUAAUGUGUAAUUUAGUCCUUGAACUUUCAAUUCAUUGGUCCCUACACUUUUGAAAAAUGUUCAACUCGAAAUGUUAAACUUUUGUUGUUCCCUAGUUGAACAUUUUUCAAAAGUUUAGGGAUCACAUUGAACAAAUUAAAUGUUUAGAUAUUGCAUUGCACUUUGGGCAAAGUUUAGGGACCACAUUGAACAUUGAACCAAAGUUCAUGGAUCAUUUGUGUCAUUUUUUCUUUGGAGGAAAAAAACUGCUAAAGACUCUAAACUAUGCCCACCGUAAUACAUUUACCCCAAUUCUUUUCGUGACACUAAAUAUUUCAUCACGCAUAUUUACUCGGCAUUAGGGUUAUGUUAAAUAUCACAGUAAAACCUAAUAACUCAAGCACCGCAUUCAAAAAAAUUAUAAUAAAAAGGGCUAGUGCCAAAAAAAAUUACAAAUUAGUAUAUUUGUCAAAUUUACCCCAAAUAUAAAAAACCUCGAAUUGAUACUCCUGUGACUAGUUUUUGUUAAUUUUUAUUAUUACUAAUUUAUAGUUUUAUCCUUCUUUUGUCACAUAUGUGUACUAGUUUGUGGUUUUUUGUAGUAAUAAUUCAAUUUAAUGGAAAUUAAUAGAGCAUAUAUUUGUUAUAAAUGUACUAAUUUGAAGUUUUUGGUGGAAAUUUGUCACAAAUGUACUUUUGGGAUUGUUUUGUGGUACUAACCUAGAUAAAACUAAUAAUUAAACAAACUCGAAGCACUGUUGGUCGUGGUUACUGUUCAUCAUCUUCAAGCCUUCGUCCAUCGCUAUCUAAAGUUGCCUGGACAUCCGACUGUGUUCAAUUCAUUUUUUUUCUUUUGUUGUAAAUAAUCUUCUUCCUUGUUCCUUUAGUUAGUGUUCAUCUUUAUAGGUAAACUUCUCCAUUUCUCUUCUAUUUUUUUUUUGUUUUGUCAAAAAUUUUCCUCUACUUUCUCCACUUAAAUACUGGCAAAAUCAAUCCAUGGACACUUUGCCACUUUGAUCACUGCUUAUUCAAACCUUGGAAAUCUAUCCAUCGGAAGAUUAGCAAAUAACAACUGAUGCUUGCACUGUCGUGACUCUCCAAGGCAUAUUUUAUAAUACGGCAAAACUCCAUGGAUUCAAGAAAAAAAGGGAAAAGGUUCAAUAGCUACUGAUGAAAUGGAUUAAGGACAUGGGGAGUAGCCCCAGUAGUGCAAAAGCUCAUGAGAAAGAGGAAGAACAAAGUAAUAUGGACAGCUCGGGCUACUCCAUAUCUCGGCAAGCUCGGUUGCAAACAAAACGCAAAAUUAGGUUUAAAUCUUUCUCACAACUCGUCAUGCUAAAGUUUGAGCCUAGUGAAAGUUGAGCUUGGUGAGCACAAUUAAAGGAAAAAUGAAAGAAAAACAAACCAUUAGAUGGGAGUGACCAAAGCGAGAUCUUACUCUCGAAUGUUGAGUAAGGCUCAUUGUCACCGAUUAGAUUCAAGGUGGCCAAGACACUUAGUCUUUUAUCCUAGGUUAGGGAAACAUGAACAAACUUGAUCAAGGUCAUUGUCCAUAGAUGAACACUUGAAGAUGAUGAACAGUGCAUCCAAAACAAUAAACAGUUAUUGCAGUAAUAGUGCUUUGAAAUUUUUUCUUUUUUGUUUGAAUUUCUUAAAUGGGGCACUCAUGUGGAACCAUAUCAACACCAAGUGGAAGCCAUGCCAGAUUUCAAUGGUGAUUUUUAAGAGAAUCCUAACGAAGGGUAAAUGUAUCACUUAGAAAUUAGUUUGAGAUUUUUUGGUAUCACAAAAAAAUUGAGGAAACGUGUCACUGUGGGCAUAAUUUGGUGUUUUGGGUUGCUUUUUCUUUAGCAUGGGAAAAGAAAUGAAGGGCGCAUCCUAAGGUGGAAAAGAAGACCCACUAAUGAUUUAGCGUACCUUUAAGCUAUCGGCAAGAAAUCAUUCAUUAUUGCUCCAACCUGUCUCGCUUUUUCUUUUCUGGUACUGCUAGAUGUUUCCUUUCAAAAUUUAAUUUGGAGAAGGGAUAAUGAUAUAAAUAGUCUUUGAACUUUGACCUAAUAUGUAAUGUAGUCCAUAUAUUUUUAAUUUAUUGGUCCCUAAACUUUUAAAAAAUGUUCAACGUGAAUUGUUAAACUUUUUUGGUCUCUAGUUGAAUGUUUUUUAAAAGUUUAGAGAUCACAUUGAACAAAUUAAAAGUUUAAGGACCACAUUACACUUUAGGCUAAAGUUUAGGGACUAUUUGUAUAAUUUUUUCUUUGAAGAAAAAAUCAUUAAAAACCCUAAACUAUACUUAUUGUGAUACAUUGUUGAUGCCUAAUUUUUAGUUGAUGCGUUGAUAAAGGUAGAACGGGGCCAAUUUUUUGAACAAAAAGUAUUAGUUUUCAUUUUCUUUCUUUUAUAAUGUCAUUUUUAGAUAAUUUCCUAGUCAUUUCCAAUAAAAAUUUGAAAAGUUAAAUGGUUGACUUUUGGGUUGACUUUUGAUCAAACUUUUGACCAAAAGUCAAACCCUUGGGUCAAAAGUUCCAAAAGUCAAACCCUUGGGUCAAAAGUUGACCUUUUGCACUAAAUGAUUCCUUUUAGUUCCAAUUUGACUUUAGCAUAUAAAAUUUUGCAAAAAUUGAAUAAGAAUCUUGUUUUUGAAUUUUUCGAUUUUAGGUUCAAAAUUAACCAAAAAGAAAAUUACUUUUAUUUUAGUUAUAAGUAGUCUUAGUUCCUUUUACAACAUUUGAUCUAGAGGUCGUUACCCAUUCACUCAUUCAAUCGAUUUUGAGAUUAGACGUGCCAAAAUAUGAAUUCUCUUUUUUAGCCCUGAUUAUGGGGUUUAAACUAGUUCAACGUGAUUUGCAAGCGGACACUUCCAUUCCACUCAUUUUUGUGGAAUAAGUCCGAAUUGAGGGUAAAUUUUGGGAAAUUCACUGGAACUUCUCAUUUUGAGGAAUUUAGCACUUGAACAUUAAAAAAUCAAGCUAAUGAGUUCCGAUUGAUGAAAUUCAAGUUGACCAAUUCGAGACUAAGGUUUAAUUUCAGAAAUUGAGGUUCAAUUUCAUCAUUAGACCCUGAUUCAAUUUUAGCAUAAAAGUCAUGCCAUUAACUUAAGUCAAUUUGAAUGCAAUAAGUCAUCCUAGGUAUGGUCAAUUAAUUCAUUGGUGCCAUGCAAUUUUAAUUGAAUUCAAUUUCAAUUAAUUUGCAUUUUUGGGCAAGAUAUUACAUAAAAUUGUCCAAUUUAGCCUAGGAAGUCCAAUUAUAUGUACCCAUGGCACGGGUCCAAUAGUUUCCAUGUUAAUUAGGUAAUUAGGCUAAUAAAAAGUUACAAGAUUGCAUUUACAUAGUUUAAUUGGCAUAAUUUCUUCAAAAUUGGACCGUUUCUCUUCGAGUUAAACCGUUUUUCCUUUAAAUUAAGCAAGAUUUCCUUUCAGGGACUAAAUUGCAUUAAAUGUAGAAGGGAAAGGACUAAAUCGCCCAAGAAGCGGCUAAAUCGACUGAACCGGUUUGAACUGAUUCGACUGGCUGCCGGUGGAGGAGGCUAGUUUGGCCUUCCUCUGGCUGAUUCUUGGUAGCCGAUGACACCCCAUGAUGGCCUACUAUGCAUACUUUCAUCCGUGCCUUCCAAUUUUUCAGAUUUUGCAAAAAUGCCCCUAGGUCUUAUGAAAUUACGAAAAUACCCAUAAUUAGGCCUUUAUUGCAAAAUUGAUCCGAACAAGUGAUUUCGGCUGAUCACCACUAUCCAAAUAGUCACAUGCUUAAAUCAAGUUUGCUUAAUGAGUAAGGAAGUUUGUUGGAAUCAAUCCUUAGCCAUCAGAUUGAAUCAACGGUUAGGAUUUGAUCUUGAGGGGGGGGGGUAUUUAACUCAUUUUCCCUCCAAAUUUUUGGAAGAGAGCCUCAUAAUCUAUAGAUUUCUCUCUUUAAACAAAAUUAUUCCUCAAAGAUCUCUCUCCUCUCUCUCUCUUCUCGUGUGGCAUCGCCUCACGACCCUCCUCCUCUCACCGCGCCUUCAACUACUCACCGAAGCCUCUGCUGGCUGAACACUAUCGUCCACUAGCUCCAUCAAUCCUCUUCUUCUCCUGCCGUAGUCACUCAGAGCCCCGACGACCACUAGAGCUUCCCGAUUAAUUUGAUUCACCGAUGGGGCCAAUCAUCGGCAUGUGACCCCAGUUGCCAGUUUCGCUGUUGGUUUCAACGACCAGCUCACUUCCCUUGGUGGCGCACCACCUCCGAUUAUCUUCCUUAACUUGUCCUUGACCUCCAGCGACCGUAGCUCCCCAUCUACACUGGUUUUGCCGUUGGUGUCAAAAUCGGAGCUUGAUCUUCAUCCAGUGCCAAACCAGUGCAAAUCCAGCGCAAUCUAGCUCUCCUUCGGCGAUUUUCAGGUUCUUCGGAAGUCCCUUGACAUCAUUAUGUGCCGUGGAGGCUUGAUUAUUGAUUGAUCGAGCUCAAAUCAAUCAAAACACACAAAAGGUAACUGUCUGUCCUUAAGCUUGAUGAAGUGAGGUUGUUCUAGACAACCGGGGCUAGAGCUCACCCUAGGAUUUUUGUAUCUACAAAAUAUGACGUAUUAGCAUGUUAGAAUGGCCAUAGGUUUGCCUUGAUUGAGCUUGGUUACAUUGAAAGAGUUUGAUUGUUUCAUUGUGCCUUGUUCUACAAAAAUCGUGUACCUCUUUGAUAGAUCUAAAACAUGCGGUGAUUUGAGCUUGUUAUUGUGGUUUUCUGUGUUUGAUAUCUUCAUGAUAUUUGUAGACGACUCGAGGAUCUUUCCAAUGACAUAAAGAAUGUCCUGAUUUGGUGUCGUUUACUACCUAAAAACUGCGUAGGAAUCGGUGCAUAUUUUUAGGAAUUUUAAUGUGUUUUGACCUAUUCUAUGUUUCACCGACCUUUACUUUUUAUUGAUUUUUUGCUAAUUUUUGUGAUUCGAGUUCUGAGUUGGUUUCAAAUUGCUUAGAACACACUUCUCUACAACAUAUAGUUUUUCCAAAAUUUCAGUAGCCAUGUCGGUAGGUAAAUUUGCAUUGAAACAUCCAUGCUGGUCUUUGUAAUCUGGAGUUUCGAACUGACCUUUGCCUAUUCCAUGAUUUUUUUUGAAAAUUAUGCGUUGCAAAUUAAAGGUUGUAUCCUCAUGAAGUUUGCUAAGAACAUCUAGGGCUACAACAUAUAAAAUUUUGAAAAAAAUAAUAAAGUCAUAUGAUAGGGUAAAUUGCCUAAAGAACGUGAGUUAUCGGUUCUAUUCUCCUGUGACCUAUACUGUUUGUCGAUUUUCUACUGAUUUUUUGAGUUUUAUUAGACUUAGAUUCUUUUGCGAGAAAUGAUCCAAAUUUAUGUUAUGCAUCCAUGAAUUUUUCCAGAAUUUUUUUGAUGACAUUGGGAUGGUGAACAAAUACUCGUGUUCCAUGAAAUUACUUCUGUGAUUUGGUCUGACAUGAGUUGCCGUGCAAUUGUCUUCAAUCGAGCUCUUAAGAGCAAAAUUAGUGCAUGAAUCCUUCUAGACAUGCUAGGAGACUUCAUAAGCUUCAAAAAUGACAUAUAAUUCAUGCCGAUCGGUGAUCCUUUGCUCUAUGAAUUUGCCUUGUGAAGUUGUUGCUAUGUUUAGUUCGAUUCUGCUAUGUUUGGGUUAGGGAGUGUUAGUUUACUUAGUGACAUUCAUGAAUUUGUAUGAUUUUCCUUGUAUUGAUCUAAGGUUAGAUGUUUUCAUCAAACUUAUUCAUUGCAUUUAGCCCUAUGUCAUGCUUAAAUGUCAUAAUUUUCAUGCAUCAUAGGUGGCUUAACUAGCUUCCUUUCAUGCAUCAUGUUCUGCCACGUUUUUUGCCGACUUGCACAUUUCUGCAAAUUUCAUCGUUUGAACAUGAAAUUGAUCUUAAUUGAGUUUGACGGCUCUUAGAAAUUCUUAGAGCACAUUCUAAGCUUUCCAAUGACUCCAAUUUUGUCCCCUUUGCAUGUUAUUUGAACCAGUUUUUAUUUUUGUGAGAUUUUUCUUGUAAUCUACCAUGUGAUGAAAUUCGAAUUGCUUGUUUGCUCAUUUUGAGUCUGAAUCUUUCCUAUUUUUGUAUGAUUGUUUUUUUUUUUUUUUGGGUGAGGAUUCUGAGGUUGGCUCUUCAAAGAAAGUUAUUCAUUACUUGUAUGGCUACAAUAUACUUAAAUUUCAUAAUUUUUAGACAUCAUUAGGGCAAAUUGCCAUUGAUAUUCUCUGAUAUCUUACUACUCUACACUGUUUCUGAUACAUUGCUCUCUGUUCUUGGAUUUUUUUAGAAAUUCAUGUGUAGAUUAUCUUAGAAAACUUCUUUCAUAAAAGUUGUUCCUUAUUGAAUCCUUAAUGUGCCAUGAUUUUUUUCAGGACCAAUGAUAAAUGAGUCAUACUUCAAUUGCUUGAAUCUUCUAUGCUCUGUUCUAGCAUGCUCUGUUUGUCCUUUAUGACUUGUCUCUGUUGUAGCAUUUUUAGGAAAUUAUGCAUGUUGAUUUGGUUUUUGAUGUCUUCACGAGUUUUGAUCCUCACAUUCGGAACUUCACAUAGAAUUUUUUUUCAAAAAAAUAAAAAGAUAGCUCGGUAAUUGCAUCGAGCCCCUCAAAAUUACUGGACAACUCGACAUUUCGCAUUCUUACUUGUUAUAGAAUUGCUUUUCAUCCAUAUGGUGCCCUAUUAUACAAAUUUCUUUAAUUAGAAUCCUCUUCUUGUUUGAACCAUAUUUAAAGCAUUUGCAAAGCCCGAUCAACUGUGCGUGGGAUGUGCUUUAGUUAGCCUUGAUAGUUAAAUGCGUUCCAUAGUUUAGAUGCACUUAUGUCUCGUCUUCAUCAAAAUUUUCUCGAACUCAUGUCUUAAUUGAUCCAAAAAUGAUUUUUGGGCAUCAUAUGGAUCUUUUUAAUGCUUUGGUUUUACUUGUCUGGUGCAUGUGGUUGUGUUUGGUGCUUGAUGAAUGAGUGAAGUGAUUUAAUAUCGUCUCACUAAUUUGUUUGAUUGAUUGAAAACCAAAGUCUAAAAGCCUCCAUGCAUGUUUACUUUCAAACUAUGCAUGUGAUUUUUAAAUAUAUGCAUAAGCAAGAUGCAUGUACCUGCGGAAUACUUUGGGUAACUUUUAGUACCCGAAUUAGGGGUUUGUUAGUAUUAGCCACAAUUUGUGAACAUAAACGUUGACUAAUUACUACAAACCAUUAAAAUGAUUGGAUAAAAGUCUUAGUGUAACUCAUUGCAUGAACAAUCAAAGGCCAACCCUGAGGCCAUUCUUGAUAAUCGUUGCUAAUUACUUUGUUUAAUGUUAUUGAUGUUAUACUUGCCACGAUCGAUUGUUAUUGCCAUGAAUUGCCUUUUCCAUUCUAAAAACUAGACUAACAUUAGAAUAAGUCCAAGAAAGCGGCUCUUGGAGAUGGCGAUUUUGAAGACGGUGAUGGUCAAUGUCCGUUCCAAUCUUUUCUAUGUAAAUGGCGAAUGGUCGAUGUCCCUUCUAACCAAUUUCCUUGUAAUAUUCAUUACCCGACAUAUGUCUUCUUAUAUGCGUUGUAUAAAUGCCUGGUGAGUUGCGAGUUCUUCCUUGCUUUCCUUUCCUUUAAUUCUGUUUUAGGAUUGCAUGCUAGAUUUACUGUUUUCCUUAAAUUGUCUUGGGUGUUUACUUAUCGCACUGUCCUUUAAAUUUCAAUUGUUUGCUUUCUUUUUUCUUUUUAAGUAGAGAUCGAAUGUCAUGAAGAUCACCUCAUUUAUAAAUUACAAGGAAAAGUAAAAAGACACGCAUGUACAUGUUAGGUAAUGUGACAAUUGUUAGGUACCGAAAGGACAUUAAUAUAAAUAUUGACAUAACCCGAGUCCGCAAGCCUUAGAUCUCUGAUUGCAUAGGUGUCCAAUGACCACUCUUAACUCUCGAUUGGGUACUUUAGUUGGACCCCAACAAUGGGGUUAGUGGCAACUCCUAAAAUGAUAUAUUAAGUUGUCUAAACAACUUAGAAACAAUAAACCCAUCAUGAGGGGUUCACAACCUUGAUUUGGCACACUCAAAGUGGUUGAGGUGAAGAGAUGAAGUGAUGCCAUCUUUAGCUUAUGUACAUUUGAGAGGACUAUCAUGAUUGUGAACCCUUAAACUCAUCUUUUUGAGAUUGAGUCAUGACUAAUCCUGCUGUCACGCGAGAUAUGAGUUUGGGAGAGCUUACGGCUGUGAUUAAGCGAACUCUGUGAUUGAUCCCAAAAAUGUGAGGGAAUUCUUAUAGUUGAGCAUCUCUAAACCUGUCGUCUCACUAUAAAACCCAAAAAACUAAGGCCAAGUCACGAUAUGCAUUUUACCCCAAUGUUUUUGGUGACACUAAAAAUCUCAAUACACAUAUUUACUCAGCAUUAGGGUUAUGUUAAAUAUCACUAUUAAAAAGGGUUAGUAUCAUGCAAAAUCAAAAUUGGUACAUCUGUCAAAUUUACCUCAAACUAAUAUUUUAAUCAUAAAAAACUCCAAACUAGUACAUUUUUGAUAAAUUUACCAUAUGUUAGUUUCUGUUAAUUUUUACCGUUAAAUUACUAAGUUGGAGGACACUUGACAAGUUGAUAAUUGUAGUAGUUUGUGGUUUUACCCUUCUUUUGUCACAUAUAUACCAGUUUGUGAUUCUUCGUAGUAUUAUUUCAAUUUAACGGAAACUAAUAGAAGGUAAAUUUGUCGCAAAUUUACUAAUUUUGGAUUUUUUGUGAUAAAAAAAUGUUUGAAAUAUAUUUUUCACAAAUGUACUAAUUUAUGAUUUUUCUGUGGUAUUAACCCAAAUAAAAAUAAUAAUUAAAUCAACCUGAAGUACUAUUCAUCAUCUUAAGUGCUUGUCCAUCGCUGCCCAAACCUGCCAAGACAUCCGACCAUGUAUCAUCUUUUUGUUUUUUUUUUAGUCUUUUGUUGUAAUCUUCUUUCUUGUUUCGGUACAUCUUUCUAGGUAAACUCUUCCAUUUCUCUUAUACUUUUUAUUUUUUUGUCAAACAUCUUUCCUCUACUUUCUUCAGUCAAAUAUUGGCAAAAUCAAUCCACAGACUUCACCACCUUGAUCACCGGCUUCUCCAAACCUCGGAAAUCUAUCCACCGGAAGAUUAGCAACGAUAGCCGAUGGUUGCAACACUAUGGCUCUCCAAGGCAUAUUCCAUUGAUAUUGUGAAAUUCCGUGGCUUUGAGAAAAAGAGGGAAAAUGUUCGACAACUAUUGAUAAAAUGGAUUAAAGACAUGGAGAGUAGCCCUAGUAAUGCAAAAGCUCAUGAAAAAGAGGAAUAAUGGAGUGACAUGGAUAGCUUGGCAACGCCAAAUCUCAGUAAGCUCAACUGCUAGCAAAACACAAAAUUGACUUUAAAUCUUAUUCUCACAACUCGUCAUGCUAAAGUUUGAGCCUAGUAAAAGGUUAGCUUGGUGAGCUGAUUGAGGGAAAAAGGAACCUUUAGAUGGACGUGACCAGAGCAAGAUCUCACUCUUGAACAUAGAGUAAGGCUCGUCGUCACCGGUUAGACUCAAGGUAGCCAAGCCCCCACAUCCUCGAUCCUAGGUUGGGGAAGUACGGACAACCUCGACCAAGGUCAUUGUCCAUGGAUGAUGAACAGUGCAUUAAAGACAGAAUAGUAAUCACGAUAACAAUGUUUCGAUUAUUUUUGCUUUCUAGUCUUAAUGCGUGGCGCCACAUCAACACUACGUUAGAUUUUAAUAGUGAUUUUUAACAAAGCCUUAAACUUAGGGUAAAUGUGUCACUCGGAUAUUAACUAGAGGUUUUUUAGUAUUUUUUUUUCAACAUCAAGUAAAUCCUAUACUAUUGUUACUAUCUUCACUUUUAUUUUUACUACAAUUCAUCAUCCCUUGAGUACCUUUUUUUUUUUUUCAUAUCACACAAAUGAUAAAAAAAAAGGAUUCUUAUCACAGAAAAUCCUAAAUUGAUACAUCCGCACAACAUUUUUUAUUCCAAAUUAAUUUUCGUGUAAAAAAAAUCCUUAAUUGUUAUAACCGUGCCACUUUUACCCCCAAAUUAAUUUUUAUGUUAUUAAAAAAAAUCCAGACUGGUACAAUCAUGCUACAUUUAAUCCAACUUUUUGUGUUACAAAAAAUUCAGAAUAGGAACUCUUAACUAUGUUAAAAGCUAAUGAUUUGAGCUUGAUAUCUUAGAAGUGAAGCAGAUAGGCAAGAAAACAAGGUAUUUAUGAGCUUGCUGAGAGUUUUAUGAAAUUGAAGUUAUCAGCGGAUUCCAUUUCAGAAUAAUUGGCUUAAAUACAUGUUGCUAAGGUUUAUUUUGGAAUAGACUACUUUUAUGGAUAUUGAGAUGACAAGAAACGAGUUAAUAAGGUCGAUAUUGAGAUUUUCAGUGAUACAAAAAUAAGUUUGAAGUAAAUUUGGUACUAACGUACCAAUUUUGAUUUUUUUGUAACAUGAAAAAUUAGUUUGGGAUAAAUGUUGUACCGGUACUAGUUUGAGAUUUUUUAUGACAUAGACAUUAAUUUGGGCUAAAUAGGAUAGGAGUGUACCGGUUUGUGAUUUUUGGUGUUAUUAUUUUGGAAAGAAUGAAAAUCGGACACAAACAUUUCAUGAAAAAAUAGUUCAAGUCUUAUCUCCUUUGAGAUGGGUGUCAAGUGUUAGCAAACAAGUAAUGUUCAUGGGAUCGUUCCUAGCAUAUGUUGAUAAAGCCGGAGUUGGGAGUGGUCAUUCUGGUACUUCUCACUUAACACUUCUCAUUAACUCCAUGUUUGUCACGUAGCUCAGUGUUACUUUUCGAUUAUUUCCAUGUCAUCCUGAACUAUUAUAUGUUAUUUUUCAAAUUUUAUUAAUAGAUAAAGUCAGUAUUUAAACAUCUUUGAAUGCUAAAACAAUCUAGAGUAAGAUUUGUCGAAAUAAUUAAUUUAAACUUAUAAAAAAUGAUUGUUCCCUCUCGAUUACAAUGAAACUUUUCUCUCUCGACAUGCAGAGUCGCCUGUCUAUCGCCAUGGUAGUUUUCAAACCCUAAUCCCCCAAAUUUACCGUUUUGUCUCCAUCCACCAUCUUCGGAUAAUCCCCUCUUCCAUACAUCUAGCAGGAUUUCCUUGUUUGGGUUGCUGCAUGUCUGUAUUCCGUCCACUUCGGCCACCUUCGGAACUCUGAGUUUGGUUCGUUCCCAUGCAGUACUUCUCCUUCCAUUGUUAAUUGUCCUCAUCGCAUAUGGCCUGCAUCAAUCUCUGGCUUAUUGGUUUUCUGAAUGGCAUCGGAUGACCAUGAGGAAUCUUCGCGUUUGUCAGCACUUUGCAACCAGUUAGGUCGUCUUACUACAGAACACACUAUAGAAGACUGGAAUGAUGCACCGUCCCCUGAAAAAAUAGCAGAAUGUCGUUUGACUUUAGUAGGACUCAUUCUAUCCAACCCUACUAUAAAUAUUCCAGCUCUCCACAGUACGUUAACGCGCGUCUGGCGCAUUGACCAGGUAGCAAUUUCACAGCCAGAGGCAGGUAUCUUUGUAUUUAAAUUCCAGACUCAAUCAGCAAAACAAAAAGUUAUUGAAGGGGGACCUUGGAAUUUCUCUGGCCACUUGGUUAUCCUUAAACCAUGGAUCCCUAAUACUCCUUUACAUUGCUAUGACUUUUCCAUAUGUGCAUUAUGGGUUCAUGUGGUUGGUUUACCUUUAGAAUGGUGUACGGAAUCCAUGAUCCGCAGAGCGGUGCAAUAGUUGGGUCGGGUAUUGGAAAUUAGAAUUGAUACAAAAGAUGGAAACUCAUCCAGACCUGUGAGAGCCAAAGUGGAACUAAACUUGCAGGAUUCUCUUAAGACAGGGAAGUUAAUUCGACUUGAGGGUAAGCACCUAUGGCUCGAUUUUCGGUAUGAACGACUGUCGCAUUUUUGCUACUCGUGUGGAAAGUUGGGUCAUUAUGUGACAUAUUGUGCGGAUAUACCCUUUGAUGAAGCAUUAUUAGCAGGUAAAGGUAACAUGGCCUAUGGCAACUGGCUUCGGGCUGAGGUUAGGGUGCAUAGCCCGUAUUGGCAAACUUUCUAUACGCCACAAAACAAUACUGAUCAACAGGAAGAAAACGUACCUGAAACUCCUCCCUCACAAAUUCCCCAAGUUCCUUUAUUGCCACGUCUAGUUACUAAUGAUCCUGUGCCAUCACAUGUCCCUCUAUUACUUCAACCAGCAAAUGUGGAUCCUAUGCACCAGAAUGAGGCUAUUGCUACAAGUAAUACCACCCAGCGAGUGGUCCCUAAUCAUCAGCUAGUUAUUCCUGCACCCGAUAAGUUAAAAGGUGUUCAGCAUCAGCCCAUGGAAGCAAAGGAGCACAAGAAGUUGAAGAAUGCGAGAUUGACCCCAAAACUAGGGGUGGCCAAGAAGUUAAAAAGGUACAACCCCUAUGAGUCCAAAAGUUUGACGAUACAAGAUCAUGAUGACACUAAUCUCAUGGAAACACCAGUUUAUAAGGCUGAGGAAAUCGGAGCGUGGGCUUCGGUGGCUGGCCCUCAACAGCCACCACCUCACAAAUGAAGAUGAUCUGCUGGAACUGUCAGGGAUUGGGCAACUCCCUGACAGUUCAAGCUUUAAGGGCCAUGUCGGCCAAGGAAAAGCCCACAAUAGUUUUUUUGUCGGGAACCAAGAACUAUGAAGUGAUGGUUAGAAGGAUUCAGCGUCGACUUCAUUUUCCUAAGUCAUAUAUCGUAGACCCUACAGGUCUGGCGGGAGGGAUGGUGCUAUUCUGGACUAAUCAGGUAACUAUAGAUGUGCUCCGGUCCACACCUAACUAUAUAGACAUGCUUUAUCAUGAAUUCCAAAAUGAUCGGACUAUGUGUAUAACUUGCAUUCAUGCUCCAUAUGUCUACCAUACUCGUCAACUUUUUUGGAAUGAACUUCGGGAGAUUAAUUUUGCUAACACAUUCCCUUGGUUAUGCGUUGGGGAUUUCAAUGACGUUCUUUAUCCAUGGGAAAAGUUUGGAAAAAAACAAGCAGAUCGACAUUGAAUGUUAUCUUUUCGGGCACUUAUCAAUGAUUGUUCUCUUAUGGAGUUACCAAGUAAAGGAUGUAAGUUUACCAGGAUGAACAAUCGCACCGGAAAUGAGCUGGUGAAGGAAUGUCUGGACAGGGCAAUGUGUUCGAUGGAUUGGAGACUUUUAUUUCCUGCUGCUGAAGUUUCUGUGCUUCUUGCUAUUGGGUCUGACUAUAGCCCAUUGAUAAUUAAUUCUUCAGCAUCCUACAAGACCCCGAAGAAAUCCUUUACUUUUGAAGUUUUAUGGAAUGAAGAUAAGGAAUGCAGUGAACUAAUUUCAACAGCAUGGAAUUUAGUCAGGGUAAAUGGAUCAGGCAUCAUCUCAAAGUUACAACAUACAUCUACAGUCCUAACAAGGUGGAGUCGCUCAAAAUUCUCCAGAGGUGAUCUUAAAAUAGCAUAUUUACAGCAACAACUUCGACAAAUUACCAAUCAGCAGCAUGCAUAUCAAAAUAGAUCUGAAGUUACUAAGCUCAAGGAGGAAAUUAGACAGAUUUGGCAGCAAGAAGAACAAUUCUGGGCUAUGCGAUCUAGAAUCCAAUGGUUAAGGUGGGGCGAUAAAAACACCAAAUUUUUUCAUGCGACAACUCUUCAAAGAAGGCAACGAAAUCGCAUUACUAUGCUCCAAGAUCAUAACAACCGGUGGAUUAGGGAUCCCUCUGCUUUACAGGUAAUGACUUGUAAAUUUUUUUUUGACAUAUAUACUACAGUGGGUCCUCGCAAUUACACUCCUAUCCUCCAACAAUGUCCAAGGGUUGUUACUACACAAAUGAACAAUGCUUUACUGGAAGAGGUGAGUCUAGAGGAGAUUCGUCAGGCUACUUUUCAACUGGGGUCUACUAAGGCACCAGGCCCUGAUGGUUUCAACAGGAUAUUCUAUCAAUCUCAUUGGGAGGUAAUCAAAGAUGAUCUGUUUCUUCUAGUUAAGAAGUUUUUCGAAACAAGCCAGAUGCCACCUAUCUUGAAUCGCACUAUUCUGGUUUUGAUUCCCAAGACGCCUCAUCCAGGAAAAAUAGAACACUAUAGACCAAUUAGCCUUUGUAAUUUCGCCUACAAAGUCAUUUCCAAGGUGCUAGCCAACCGCCUCAAACAUUGGUUACCUCAGUUGAUAUCUAUGGAACAAACUGCUUUUGUCAAUGGACAGAUCCAAGACAACAUCUCAAUCUUUCAAGAAGUUCUUCAUCAAUUUAAAACACGACAGCGGAAAACAAAAUUCAAUGCAAUUCUUAAGACUGAUAUGCAGAAGGCCUAUGACAGAAUUGAAUGGGAUUUUCUUAGGGACUACUUAAUUCAGGUGGGCUUCCAUCAUAUGUGGGUACAAUGGAUAUUACAAUGUGUCUCAACUACAUCCUAUAGUAUCAGAUUCAAUGGGGAGCUACUUCCUUAUAUUUUCCCUACUCGUGGUCUAAGACAAGGUAACCCUCUCUCACCAUAUAUCUUUAUCCUGGUGGCGAAUGUUUUGUCAAUAUUGAUCAGCCAAGCAGUUAAUAUGGGCCAACUAAAGGGUAUCAGAUUCAAUAGGUGGUGUCCCACCCUUUCCCAUUUAUUUUUUGCUGACGAUGCAAUCUUUUUCCUCGAUGGCAGCAUUCGUAAGUGUCAAAACCUGGCUAAUAUCUUAAAUCAGUACUGUCUAGCCACGGGCCAAGCAUUGAACCGCAACAAAUCAGGGCUUAUUUUUAGUCGGCAUUGCCCUAUGAGACUGCGGGAAAAUAUGUCUCUCGAACUAAGAAUUCCUGUAUCACUACGGGCUGGUAACUAUCUGGGUAUCCCUUCAGACUGGGGUCGCUCCAAAAAGGACAUGUUUUCGUGGAUCCUAGCACGUGUUCACUCAAAACUCGAAGGAUGGAAGGAAAAGCUCAUAUCAAAGGGGGGUAAAGAAACUCUUAUCAAGUCUGUCAUCCAGGCGAUUCCGCAUUAUGCUAUGUCUGUUUUUAGAUUGCCCUUAUCGUUGUGUAAAACUAUUGAGAAGAACAUUGCAAGGUUUUGGUGGAAAACUGAUAUGCACAGGGCAGGCAUUCAUUGGAAGAACUGGGAAACUCUUAAAAGUAGUAAGGUCAAGGCGGGCUAGGCUUUUGGGAUCUCAUAGAAUUUAAUAAAGCCAUGCUCGGCAAGCAAGCAUGGCGUGUACUCCAACAAUCUCAGGCUUUAUGGGUUCAACUUUUCAAAGGGCUAUAUUUUCACAACACAGAAUUUAAAUCAGCACCCAAAGGCAGUCGUCCAUCAUGGGUUUGGCAGAGUAUUCUUACAAGUCGAGAUGCUAUCCUACCAUAUACUAGAUGGUCAGUAGGCAAUGGGAGGAAAAUCUGUAUCCGUGAGGAUCUAUGGUUAAAAAGUGGAACCUUGUUUGGUCUUGCCAACAGAGAGGACCCGAAGUUAGUGGCUGACCUAAUAGAUGCUACUCACAAUACUUGGAAUGUACCUUUGCUACAUCGCAUUCUAGAUGAGCCAACUGUUAAAGAAAUUUUGACCAUACCAGUUAGACCUCUUUAUGUAGAAGACAAAUUGGUCUGGCCAGCUACAAAGGAUGGCAUGCACACAGUCAAGAGCAAUUAUCACAUUCUAACAGACAAAUCCAGCCUCAAUAACAACCAGACAACAUCAACCUCUCAUCGGAUACCUAUUACUCUCUGGCGCAAAAUCUGGUCUUUGAAAACUGCCCCCAAAGUCAAAACCUUUCUCUGGUCACUUUGUCAAAAUGCUGUAGCAUCCCGAGCAAACCUAUUCCGCCGAAGCAUUACUUCAGAUCCUUACUGUCAACUAUGCAAUCAGCAAAAUCCAGAAACAAUAGAACAUCUAAUACUAUUGUGCCCAUGGACUCGCCUUAUUUGGACUCAUCCAGCAAUCAACAUUGACAUUCAGCAUAAGCACACCCAUAGAUUUGAUGUUUGGCUUGCUGCAAAAUCAAUAUAAACAGCGAACUCACCUUCUUUAGAGCUUCUUGCAAAUGUCUGCUGGCACAUCUGGAAAAUGCGGAACAGCUACCUCUUCCGCAAUCAAUGGCUCCAUUCCUCCAUGGUAGUCGAAACAGCUUUGACGGAGACGAGGCUUCACCAGAUCACCUCUACCUCCCCUUCCUCUGGGCGGCAAUCUGUGCUCAACCUGAACCCCUAUCAGCUAUGGAGACCGCUUGAUUUGGGUACAUUAAAAUGUAACGUUGAUGCUUCAUAUCAACCAGAGAGCACAGAAGGGGCGAUGGCUGCGGUAUUUCGAGAUCAUCAGGGAAGACUUAUUGAGAUCUACACCAAACGUUUUCCCGUUGCUUCAGCACUGGUAGCGGAGUUCCACGCCCUCUCCUUCGCGAUCCAGCACUUGAUAGCACAAGGCUUACAGCAUGCUAGGGUUGUGAUCGAAUCGGACUGUAGAUCAGUGGUGGAUGCCAUCACAGGAAGGAGAUCUGCGCCAUGGGAGCUUCGUCCCCUGCUUGCGGAGGCUGCUGCACUGCUGCCGCUGUUCCCUAAUCUUAUGAUACAGUGGUGUCCUCGGGAAGCAAAUGGAGUUGCAGAUUGGGCUGCAAAGGCCCAGCGAGAUUCAACUUUGGCCCACAAUUGGAAUAUCUUCCCCCCUCUUAUUUUGAUGAAUCUGCUAUAUGUCAAUGCCCUUCUGGCCGGUUGUAAAUUGACGUUUCUAUGAAUAUAUGCUUUCCUUUGACCAAAAAAAAAAAAAUUAAGAAUAAAUUAGAGAUGUGUGUUUUCUGUGUCUUAAAAUGGUAAGAGCACAUAGAAACAUGGGAUUGAUGCAAAAAGAUAUUCAGAACUCCAAGAUGUGGUGCUGACUAUGAUGGACGCGACACGAGGUUUGUUAAUAUAGUAUUUGUAUUGUUGUUUCUUGGUUAUUAUCUACCUCUUCUCUCUUUGUACUUCAGAUUGAGAGAUUUAGGAAAUAUCUUGAAAUACAAUUAAAAAAAUAUGUCAUCUUGAAUAAAAUUAAUGAUGAAAAAAUUAUCCUAAUCAAUUUAAUUCACUUAAGCCUAAGAUAAUAAGAUUACUAAUACAAUUUAAAUUACAAAAGGUAUCUAAAUUAGUUUGUUGAAGUAUCAUGUGGCUUGACAAUGAAUCUUAUAUGCUUUAUCUAUAUGUAUAGCGUUGAAAAUACUUCAAUAUUUAUUUAUAAUUAGCUCAUCCCAUUUUGCAUUUCUUCCUCCUUUCGUUGGUGUUGGAAAUACUUCAAUUCACAUGUUUUGCGAGUUUUGCACUUUUAUGUCUCGUCUUACCAAUUAAGUUAAACUUUUGACUAGAACAAUUGUGGGCAAAUAUGAUUCGACCGCUAUGAAAUUUGACGCUUUAGCCAGAAAAUCUUUCUUCGCCACAUGUCAUUAGACACGAAAUUUUGUGUCGCCGAAGCUACUACAACCCACAUAACUUUCGUUGGAUAUGGUCGGCCCUUUAGCCACGAAAUAAAAUCUGUCGUUAUUGAGUGUCUAUUUUACGCCUUUUGCCAUGAAAUAUCCCGUGGUGAAAAGUAUACAUUUCUGCACAAAAUUACUCGAUUUUGUUUCUAAAGGUGUAUUGCCACAUGCCUUUAGCCGUGACAUUUCCGCCACCAAGAUUUCCGUGGCCGCGAAUUUCCAGGCUUCUAGCCCCGAAAUUCUGCCGCGGUGAAAGGUCGAUUUUCUUGUAGCAAGGAUUCACCGCUAACAAUGGAAAAAAGUGGAUAAGGCCGUACGUGAAGAACACAUUUUUUAUACUGAUGGUGGAAAAGACAUGGAUGUACAGAAAACAUGUCACUGAUCAUACAUAUGAUGGAAGGUACAUACAAGAUACUGGAAAAACAUUUAUUCGCAUUAAAAUGGCUCAUUAGAAAGCAACGUGAACGAUAAAUAUAAUUCCGAAAGACAUCUCAUAUAAAUCUACAUAUUAUAUAUUAUACAUAUACGAACAAUCUUUACAAAGAAAGGGCAGACCCCAACAGUUUAAAGCUACACUUAGGUAACCUCAUAUGGUACUAAAAUCUGCGGGGGCUGGUGGCUGGAGGAGGAGUGAGGAAAGGAAUGUAGGGAUGCUCAGCAUUGGGGGCAAGGUGGUUGGCAUGGUCGGCAUGUUUGGAAGUGGCGGCAGAGCAGUGGUGGGCAAUGUUGGCUGGGUGGUGGCUAGUGUCGGCAAUGUGGGCUGAGGUAGGGUCGUAGGGAUGGCAGGCAAUGUGCGCAUGGACAGCAAUGGUGGCAGCGAAGUGGGUAUUGAUACUGUUGGUAAUGUGAGAAGGGAUGGUAUGGAUGGCAUAGUUGUUAAUAUCGGUAGUGUUAGUGUUGUAGGAAGGGGCCGUAUGGAUAGUCUAGUUGUUUGCCACAAAUGACAAGUUCUGAAACUUAUAUUGGCAGUUGAGAGAACUAUAGCGAUGAAGAGAACAAAGCUCUUUGGGUGAUCAGCCAUCUUGGUAACUGCAGCAUGGAUGUUAUGUUGUGAAAGACUCAAGGACUUGAAAUCAAUGAGCUAAGAGGCAUGGAUUGCUACUUGCGUGAGUAAAUGGAGGACAGAGAUGGGAGUUUAUAUAGCUAGAGAUAGUUCAAAUAGAAUAUUGGGUUGUAAUAAUAAGUUGGUGACUGGCUUUUGGGUAUGGUUAGGAAAAAGAACAAAGAACAGAACAUCUCUUUAAUUGGUUCUUUGUUAGCUCACCUCCUUAGCUCAAAUCUCCUGAAAGAUGGCCAAUGCUGGCUCGGGGCAUCAUCACGGCUCCUUAUUGUUAGCAGACUCGGAUUAGUACAACUGCUCACCAUGAAGGACCGUGCUAGGCUAAGGCCCAAGAGGGUCAGUCCGUGUUGUGUCUAGGCCAGCACAGCUUAAUAUUCUUAGGGUAGGGGUUCGUUAAUGUACAUGUUAAGAUAAGCAAAUGCUAAAGUUCAUGUCCUUUGCAAACUGUGGCCUUUCAAAACCAUAGAUUUUAAAGGUAAUGUGUGAGUGUAAUGAGUCGAAUUCAGGUCUUGAGUCGGAAAGAGAAUUUCAAAGUGUAAUUGUCGGUGUGGUAUAAAACCGAUAAGUUAUGAUCUUGAUAAAGGACAAAGGAUAUAUAACGCAAAGUACUGCAUGAAAAUUAAAGAAGAAAAGAAAAGGAUGUCAUAUAAUUUGGAGUAGAAUUAAGUAUGUUAGUUUUUUCUUUUUUCCUUUUUUUUUUGGCGAGAGAAGAAUGCUAGUUCACUAUUGUCUUAAAUGCAAUAUCUCUGAGUACCAGAAACUUAUUCUUUUAGGUUAAGUUUAAUAUCGACAAAAAGAAAAGGGUUAAGUUUAAAUUAUCAAAAAUAGAGGAAAUAAUGGACUUCUAUCAAAUUGAGUGAAUACAAGUAUUAUUCCCUAAAGAUUUCUUGGUCAAUGUUUUUUUCUCAUUUUUUUAAUUCAAUACUUUAAAGUGUACUACUAUGUAAUCUUCAGGGAAAUUUUCCAAUAAUAGCCUAAAAUGGGAUUAAUUUCUCAAAAGAUGAUGUAAAGUGAACCUUUAUUUCAAAUAAAUGCCUCAAGUAACCAAGUUAAUCUCAAAUAAGGAUAUGAGCUCGCCAACCAGUCAAUCACUCGAUAAGCAUUUGAUUUUUCUAGUGGCUGGCAAAGGGUAUUUUUGUCCAAAGCAAAACCUAAAGAUUAAAAGAGAGAGAGAGAGAGGAAGGGACAAAUGUAUUGGAAACCCUAAAACUUAUCAUGAAAGUGUAAUUAAGUUUUAAAACUUUCAAAAAGUGCAAGUAAAUCCUAAAACUUAUUGAAUAGUCCAAUUAAAUCCUCCCAUUUAUGACAUUUUUUUGAAAUUUUUAAAAUUUGAUUGCACUUUUGUAAUAAUUUUUAGGAGUUGAUUGUACUUUUUGAAAGUUUUAAAACUUGAUUGCAUUUCAUGAAAAUAUUAUGACUUGAUUAUAUUUUUUGAAAGUUUGAAGACUCAAUUGCACUUUUAUGAUAAGUUUUAAGAUUUUUAGAGCAUUUAUUUUUGUAGUAGAAUUGCAAAAGAAAAAAAAGGGGAAAAAAAAAAAGAAUCUCCUGAAACACCACCUUCAUGAACAUAGCACCCCAACCAUGUUGAAGAUCCGACAGCUUCAAGUCACUCCAAUCAGACUGCCAUUAAAUUUUUUUCCUUUCGUCAAUAUUUUUUCUUCUCAAUCCCGUCCCAUCAACCAUUACCAGUGAUUCUUUCUUCACUUGAGUCCUCACUCCUACCUAUAUGCUUCGCAGCAUGUCUCCGGAUUUCCAUAGGUCCUUCGUCUACACCAUUCUUGGCAAUAUUCAUAUGUUUUGUUCAUGUCCUGAUUGCUGUUGUUCGGUGGUUUUUUAUGAUGCAGGAAGGUGGCGACGAUCUAGUGGGUGAGGUCAGGAACUAGAGCUGCGCUAUCAAUUUGGCGUUCAACGAUGAUGGGAAUGACUACGAUGAUGAGGACGAUGGUGCAGAGAGGCUUGGCAUCAAGCUCCACCACCUGAGAUUUGCAAUUGAACUCCAUCAUGACAUUGAGCAUCAGCCGACCCCAGGCAAGGGUUGACAGUACUCGUCGGCGAAGUUGGAAUCGUGUUGGCACACACAUAUUUGAUCAUCUACAAUCUCCUUUUCUCCUUUGGUUUGAUGGGGUGUGAUUGAGAAGCUGUUGAAUCUUCGACAUGGUUGGGGGUGCCGUGUUCAUGUUGGUGGUUCAAGCGAUUUUUUUUGGCUUUUCUAGUUUUCUAUUAUUUAAUAUUUUUCAAUUUUUUUUGAACUAAAAUGCCCUGCUAGCUUAGGCGAAAGUGGCCCUUGACGAGGUCCAGCGGGUAGCCAAUGGAAGGAAAAAGGGAAAAAAGAAGAAGGAAAAAGUAAAGAAAAGAAAUAAAAAAAUUCAGAAAAAAAAUAUUAUUAAACAUUAUCCACGUUAGUGUUAGUUAUGCCACGUGGGAUGAUAAAUGUUCAUGUCGGUUAUUUCUAAUUAAAAUUGACCGAAUUGACUCAAUUAGUAAUAUAUAUAUAUAUAUAUAUAUAUAUAUAUAUAUAUAUUUAUAACUAAAUUAGUAAAAAUUUAAUAAAUUUAAGACUAUUUGGAUAAUUUUCCCAUUCUUUGACAAUGCUUGCAAAGAUUAUGUACACAAAGGAGGAUCAAGGAUCUCCGUCCUCCUAGGAACAUCGUUAACAUUAAUAAAUGUUUACUGCCAACGGCAGCUUCGGAUUUCAGAAGGUCAGACGUCCCAGUUGACAUGGCUGAGGCCAUAAUGGCCUUAAAGCUAGCUAAAGACCUUGCCUUACCUUCCGUGGAGACUGAAUCAGACUGCACUCACGUGAUGUCUCUUUAUCCACCAGCGCUGUCCGCCAAGACAUCAUCCAUUUCAGGUCUGCUUGUUCAGACGCUCCUCUGUUCGAAGACAAGGGAAUAUAGUGGAUCGUAUUCUAGCUCAAAAGGGCAGACAUUCGACCAGAAACUGUGCGGGUGGAGGAAGGACCUGAUUAUCUUCUUCUGCUUUUACAGUCUUUACGGAUUCCACCUCUCGAGUUGAUUAAAAUAAAAAAAGUUCUUUUCCCACUUAAAAAAAGGGGUGCCUUCGAUUGAUGGUGAUUAUCAUAUUGAAAAAGGGAAAGUACCCUUGAUCAAAAACGUUGUAUUGACGAAAAAAAUGUGUUCAAACUUGGAGAUUUGUCAAUAGACGAUAUGUCCAGGUGUCACAUUAGCCAUUAUUAAUUAUCACCAUAUUGUUCUUAUUCUAUUAGUUUUGGGAGUGAGUAAGCGAUUUCUGCAAGCUGAAUUAUUCAAAAAAUUUCAGGUACUCCAACCUACCAAGGUCUUGAAUUCCAACUACGUUUAUGUAAUUAAUUUCUCCAGACUCAAUGGCUUUAAAAGGCCAAGCCUUUUCAAUAGAACUACACCCAGGAGUACAAACAUUUCUAAGGACUCCCACCCUGUCAAGCCUUUUCAUUUCGAGUUUCAACUAAGCUUUUACAAAUCAUCGCAUUUAAUUUCUUUAGAUAGGAUGAUUAUGAGAGGUCUAGCCUUUCCAUAGAAUUGCACCCAGUGAAAAUUAGCAUUUGCAAGAAGUGUUAUCAACGCCUCACAUUUAGACUAAGUUUUCAUAACUUGUUCAAUCUAGUUUCUCCCAACGCAAUGAUUUUGAAAGGUCCAGCCCUCUAAUGAAAGUACACCCUGUGAAGAGUAAAUCAUCCAAGAACUCUGAUCGACCAAAGUCUCGGAUUUCAUUUAGGUUUUUGCAGUCUUUGGCAUCUAAUUUCUUGAGAAGCUCCGAUUGUGGAAGGUCUAAUAUCUCAAAGGAAGUGCACGCAUAUAUGUCCAACCUUUUCAAGAAGUCCAAGCUAUCAAAGUCUUGAAUUUCAAUUAAGUUCCUACAAUUUUGAGUGUCUAGUUCCUUUAAACGCUCCGAUUUUAAGAGGUCCAAUCUUUCCAUGGACUUGCACCCGUAGCAUUCAACUCUUCCAAAUUUCCAACCUAUCAAGAUCUUGAAUUUCGAUGAGUUUUUUUGCAACUUGUAGCUCGUAAUUUCUUCAUAUGCCCCCAACUUGGACAGUCUAGCCUUUCACUGGAAGCGCAAUGACAUAUUUCCAACUGUUCCAAUAUCUCUAGCCUUUCAAGUCCUUAAUAUCUGUCUUGCGUCUGUCUUUCGAUUUCCAUGGAGGCUUCAGGGUUUCUGAGACCUGCGAACCAUGAAUGGGCAUCAGUUCAAAGCAUUCUCAGAUAUAAGUUUCAACAUGGCACAUUGCGAAAUAGUAAGGUAUGCCAGUGUUGAGGGAAGCGCUGAGAUGCAUUGGAGAGAAGCGCAGCAAUCAAGGAAGACUUUCUUUUGACGAAUUAGGUGAGAAAGUCGAGGAAGGUCAAGUUGGUAGGAAGCUCCGACGGCAACUGAAGCAACCGCACAAAUCAGGGUGUUGGAGAGACAAAAGAAUGCGUAUGCUCUCUGGUAAGCUAGAAAUUUCUGUACGAAGAAAAUCCAUUCGUCUUGAGCGAAGACAAGUUCCCAAUAUCCCCGGUAACUUUCCCACACUCCCAACAGCAUUCGGUAGCUCUUUUUAUCUUGCUAUCACUAAUAUCAAGCAUUUGAAAUUCCGCAAAUUCCCUAUGCAUUCAGGCAAUUCCUUAAUUGAGGUGCUGGAUAAGUUCAGUUUAGUCAACAAUUCCGAGUCCCACUUAAUUCGGGGGUCUCCCUCGAACGACUGUUUUCUAAUGAGAUGAGCCGCAACUUCACAAGGGACCCAAUGCUUAUAGGAAGUCACAUAAGCUUAGAGUAAUAUGUCAAAUCAAGGGUCGACAAAUUCGUCAAACAGGCAAUCGAUUCCGUAAGUCGAACGAUGUAUAAUCAUUGGCAUUAAGUGUCUUUAGCUUCUCCGAGAGCCGAUAGACAAAGGAAAUUCUGGUAUUCAAAUUCCAUCUAGAAGAAGUUUCUUCAAAUUUCGUAGUUUAGUCACUUCCACCGGUAGUUCUCCGAAACUCCCACAUCACAUCAAGUGCAAGCAAAUGAGGGCCUUCGCUCCUGAAGUGUCGUUUUGAUCCAGUUGACAACAAUUUUUAAGGAUCAGACUACUUUUAAAAGCCAAUAGAAGAAACUACCUUUUAAACGUUGGCUAAGGUUGAGAGCUUUUUGAUUAUUUGCUUGGCUCAAAAGUUCGGGUAAAUGACAGAUGGCAUUACUCAUUCCACAAACAUUAAGGAGUAUUCUUUGGGCUCGUCUAUUAUUUCCGUUGGAACUUUAGGUAUUGUUCACCGAAGAAUCGACAAAGGAUGUGAAGAAUCUUUAGCUGAUUCUCGGACCAAAAACACAAUUGACAAAAAAAUUAGAAGUACCGAAAGUAGAGAGAAUCCUAGCCAUGUAAAAAGAAAAUGCAAUGUAAAAAUAAAUUGAAAAUGAAAUUGAACAAUCGGUGUUUAUUAAUUGAUUGGCCGUAACUUGCAUAAACUACAAUGGAAGUAUUUAUAUUUGCUACUGCUAGAUAACAACGGUUACAAAGAACUUAAAUACAUCAUAUGCAACUCCUAUAAAUCAGCAUCUUGUAUUUACAUAAGGGUCAUAUGACUCCACUACUUGACAAUUGCUUUUUCUCCACGUUCCAUGCCCGACAUAAUCAGUUACUUCCAAAGCUCUUCCUUCCACCAAUUGACGGUUGCAAUAAACCACGUUUCUCGACCCUUAUCAUUGGUGGAGAUUCAUGAUUCCAUCAUCUGACGGUUAUGUUGGUUUCACUUCUUCAUAGCUAGGCCCCAUAUUGUCGGCUUCAUUACUUAGAUAACUACUCUGUGUCUAGCUCAUUGUAAAUUGCGUUAGUCUGUCGACUAGGUCAAGCAUCAGUUACCGAUACUCAUGCUCUAGGACUCGGUUAUUUCCAUUUGACUUCCUGUCGGCUAAAACUAGUUAUCUUGUCGAUUAAAUGAGUUUACCAAUUAAUCGCCCUCAAUCCUUAGCAAACUCUACUUCUGCUGUAAUCUGCUCGAUCUCCCUCAGUCCGAGUCGAUGGUCAAAGACUAGGGCAUUUUUGGUGUCAACGAAUAUAUCAUCGAUUCAUAACAUAUAAACAUGGAUUCAUGGUCAGCAGAAUUCAAGUUACAAUUUUGUUGAAAGAUCCAAAAAUUCUCGAUGGUUUUGAUUUUGCAUUGUUUCCUAAUUUGUUCACGACCACACCAUUGGGAGAAGAGUCAGUUCUUGCUUUUGGUGUUGACCGAUACUGAUUACCUUAAUCAACUAAUGCAGACAGCUUUGUGAGAUAAAUUACGUGAAACACAAUAGCAGGACAAAUUUUGUGCCAAGAGGUAGUGUACGCAUACAGGCCAAUUUUCCUCUUGUAAGUUGGCCUCACCUAGCCACUGGGAAGACUUGAGCCUCGCCAGGGCUAGGAGAGGCUUGCCCUUGCCAAUGACCAGCAGGGGUGAGCUUCACUAGAGGCCAAUGAGUCGACCUUGCCAACCCUCAUCUCUAGCUGGUCUCUGAGGCUUGGCGACUAGAUAGAGGAGGAAGAAUGGAAGAAAAGAAAAAGGAGAAAGGAAAAAAAAAGGAAAAUUAAAAUAAUAAAUAAAUAAUUUAAAAAUAUUAUUAAAAAUCAUUAACAAUAACGUUGGUUGUGUCAUGUAAGACGGCUAGCAUCCAUAAAAUUGAUUGAAUGGAUUUAAUUGGCAAAAUAUGAAAAAAAAAAAAAGUUUAGGAUCCAAUUGGCACAAUUAAAUGGUUUAUGACUGAAUUGACAAAAAUACAAGAUUUAAAACAAGUUUGUCUGUUUGGAUUUGACAAAGGGAGAGCAUUGUGGGGGUUCUCAAGUAAGGGUGUUUGUGGUCGGGGCAGCCACGCUGUGAUGCACGGAGUGCAACGUCAACAUUGUGAGGCUACGAUUACUUCAUAUUGUACCAAUAAUCUCUUUUCAUCCAUUAACGAUUUAAAUAUUUUGUAACAAGGGAAUGGUGCAAAGUUCAUUAAAUAUGAUAUUUUUGCAUACACACAAAGCGGAUGCAGUUUUGCUAAUAGUUUUAUAAAGGAAACUUAUUAUUGGAUUAUGUAUGACUCCACUCAAAAGUAUUGACCAGAAAUAAAAAAUAAAAUAAAAAGGAGAGGAACAAAAAUAACAAUUUUUUUUCCUAAUGAAAGGAGAAAUAAUAUUUUUAUUUACUAAGAAACCUUUAAGGAAUAAUACUUAUAUCACUCAAUCUGAUGGUAUAAGCUCGGUUAUCUCUCUCUCUCUCUCUCUCUCUCUCUAAAUAAUAUAUACUCGAACUUAAACUAUAAACAUAAGGCUUUUGGUACGAGGUGAUAUUGCAUUCUAGACAAUAAUCAAUUAUUCUUCUCUUGCCAAAAAAAAAAAGAAAAAAAGAAAAAAAGGAACUACCUUUCUUAAUUUUGCUCCGUAUUCUAGGACAUCGUUUUCUUUUCUUCAUUUAUUUCUACUACAAUACUUCAUAUCACAAAUUCUUUGUUCAUUACGAAGACCGUAAACUAUCAAUUUUUAUACUACACCAGCAAUUGCACAUCAAAAUUCUCUUUCCCCUUCAAAAUCCGAAUUUGAUUCAUCGUACUCAUGCGAUAUCUUUAUAAGUCAUUAGUUUUGAAUGGCCUAAGUUUGCAAAUGACCUGAAAUUCAGCAUUAUGUAUAUCAACAAACCUCUUCUCGAACAAUGGUAGCCGGGCCGUGCUAGGUGGAACCUAUUAGUUAAGUAGUACCGACACUAACACGUGACACGCGCGACGAUAUGACACGACACGCCAACAAACAAAGAAUUCUGACAUAUUGGGACACAUUGUAUAUAUAAUAAAUUAUCAUUUUUAUGAUAAUUUCAAUCAAAUUAAUUUGAAUCAAAUUCAUAAAUAAAUAAAUAAAUAAAUAAGCCUAUAAUGAAUAUACACUUCAAACAUUAAUUCACCAUUUAUUAACAUCAUUCAUUGUUUCAAUUUAACAAAUUCAACUCUAUUUCAAUAAUUUAUAAAACUUGGAGAAAAAACAAGCAAUCUAUAUUCUGGACUCCAUGUUAGAUUUGUUGGAAAAGGAGAAAAAAAAGGAACUUAAGGGGUGGAUUGUAUAUCACGGGAAGUGAGAGUCAAAAAAGAAGAGAAGACUAGGUUUUUCUUCUUUCUCCCAUUAUUAUUUUUAUUAUUGUGUUUUAUUUUUUCACUUAUAUAUUUUGACCUCUCAUUUAUUGAAUUUUUAAAAUUGACUUCAAUAUCGGAAUCGCGUGUCGGAAACUCGUAUGUUAAAAUUUCAACUCGAGUGUUGGAGAGUCUUGAGAAAGUUGACCAAAGUUUAGAUUUUCCAACACAUGUUGACCAAGUGUUGAAGAGUGUCUAAGAGUUUCGGAGAGUGUCGAACACGUGUCGAAGUGUCCGACAUGACACGAAGGCUCUUGGAGAGUAUCGGUGCUUCAUAGCCUAUUAGUAAUAGGUAGUUGUGUUGAUGCCUGGACUUGCCCGCGUCCAACCUUUUAUUCUUUUUAAUCUUUUUCAGAGGUGAUGAAUUUUCAUUGGAACAAAAGUGGAGAUAAUCACGGCAGUACAAGAGACGUAAAUGACUGACUUUUAAUAAAUUAAACUAUGAAAAGAAAUUGCUCAUAGUACGGGAGAAGUAGGAGGAAAAUAGGGAGAGCAAUAAUUGACGAGUCUGUUUAUUGUGCAUUUGGUAACUUUUUUUUUUCUCAAGAAUAAUUUCUAUUUAAAAAUAUUUUUUUUCAAUUUCUAUUCUCUGAACUUUUGAGUAAAAGAAUGUAUUUAGGACAUGUAUGACAAAAUUUAUGGAACAUAAUUCAAUUUCUAAUUUCUUAAUUUUUAUUCCCUAAGCGAGUUUCUAAGUAAAUAAAUGCAUUUUGAUAACAACUCAAAAUUUUUAUUUUUGAAAUAGAAAUUUGUUUGAUAACAAAAUAAAAAUUUUAUUUCUAGGAGGGGCAGCGUUUGACGUCUAGCGGCAGGCAUCUGGUGACCGGUGUCAAGCAAGCAGCGUUUGGUGGCGAGCGGCAGGCGGCCAGUGUUUGGCAGCGAGCUGGUGGCGUUCGGGCCGACGGUGGGUGUUUGGCGUCCCACGGGCAAUGUGUAAUGACGAGAGUAAACGAUGAGAAGAGUUUUCAUUUCUCACUUUUUGUUUAGAAAUAAAAAAGCUAGAAAUUUUAGUUUCUAAUUUCUGCUUUAACUCUAUUUCUAGAAUAGAAAUUUAUUUCAGAAAUAGAAAAAUGAAAUUAUAUUACCAAAUGGAUUUUUGUUCUAAACUUGUUUUGAGGAACAAAAAAACAAAGAAAUAGAGAAACAAAGAUUUUAUCACGCGUGCUCUUAGUAAUUAUAUAAAAUUUCUAUUCUUGGAAUAGAAAAAGAACAUAAACGCGUUGGGUACUGCCCUAAAAAUUUCUAUUCCCAAUUCAUUUAAUUAGAAAAAUGUUAGUGAAGACUUAGCAAUUCAUGUCUGAAUAAAAUUGAACUUUUCUAAGGAUUUAAUUGAUCAAGAUAUUCUAAGAUGGUCUUUGAAAAUUCAACAUAAUAGUUGAGUGAAAAAAUGGAUGGUUGGAAAUGACAACAAAAAGUCCCACUAAUUUAUAACUCACAAUGUUAGGAGGUUAAUAGUAAAUUUUUGGACAUUACAAUAAACAGGUGCAGACUUUUCUAGCUCUUUUAGCUACAAGAAGAAGAGUAAUGUUAUUUGGUGGAAUGGACAAUGACAGAACAAUUGAGGAUGGAGGCAAUCUUUGGUGUGCUUAUUUGCCCAAAUCAUUAAACCUUCAAAUAAAUGAUAUCAGAAAUCCAUGGAGCACAACCUUAUUUGACUGCUAUAAACACAAAACAAAUGGUAAUACAAAAGACUUAUUUAGAGCUAUCUAAUUUUCUAUUAAAAUAGAAUUGCAGAUGAUCUUAGGAUAUCUCCAAUAGAAUCUUAAGGGAAGAAAACCAGAGUUGGCAAUCUUUCGUGACCUAAGCAUUGUCUCUAAAAGAAAAAAAGGCAUUUAAAAACCAUAUAGUAAAUUUUUAAAAGCUUAUUCAAUUUUGAAUCCAGUUUUCAUCAAAAGAUUUUCACAUUUUUUAUGCUAAACCAAUUCAAACUAGAAUUAACAAUAAAAUCUAGUAAAACUAUUCAAAAUCUAAUUUCUAAUUUUUUUCCUAAAUUUCUGAAUUUGUAUUUUUAUUUCAAAAAAUGGAGACUCAGAUUGGAUAAGGAGAUUGGACAUUGUGUCAAUUGUAUAAAGAUGAGCAUUAGGUUAUGUUGAGUUUGUUUUUCUAAAAUGGCAUUAUUUCUCUUUUUGUCCUCACGCACAAAGAAGUAAGUUUUUUCUAACUCUUGUUUCUAUUUUAAAUCUGUUCCCUUGCCAAUGACUGUUGUUGAUUUGUUUUUGGAAACAAAAGAACAGAAAAAAUAGAGAAAUAAAAUGGUUACCAAACAGGGUUUUAGCCAUUAUAUUUUUGUCCAUGACGUAAUCUUUUGAUUAAUAUAUCGCCGAUGACAUGCACACUAAGCCAUUGGUGGGUCGUCUCUUCCAUAUCAGUUAGACCCAUCUUAUUUUUUCUUUGUUCUUUUGCUUUGGAGUGAAUAUCACAAAUAAGGAGUCCAAGCCUCACACGUCUUCCAAAAAGACGGAGAGAGCAUUAAGAGCACGAAUGAUAACUAUUUUGGCAAGAAAUUGAUUUAUGAAACAAAAUAGAUUUUUAUAAUUUUAUUUCUAAAUGAGUUUAUGAGCAAAAAUACACAUUUGAUAACGAUACAAAAAUUAUGUUUUUGAAAUAGAAAUUCGUUUGAUAACGAUACAAAACUUCUCUCUCCCAAUCAAUGGCGGAUAGAGUGGGGGGCAGCACAACUACCAAUGGUAGUCGGCGAAUGGUAGUGGAUGGGGGGCAAUGGCCGAUGGGCGGUUGACUAAUAGCGAUGGCGAAUGACAAGAAGAAUAUUUUUCAUUUCUGUUCUAGAAAUAAAUAAAUAGAAAUAUUUUACUUUUCAUUUCUGUUUCAAAUCUAUUUCUAGACAAAAAAUUUGUUCCAUAAAUAGAAAAAUAAAAUUGCAUUAUCAAAUGGAUUUCUGUAAUUUUAGUUGCAAAAAUAGUUGUUUACCUAGUCUUAACUAUUAAGUAAAACGGGUCUUUUUAUUUAGCCACCAUAGAAAAUCUAGCGAGUGUUGAUUAGAAGAGAUCAUUGUCUCAGUACAAUUUUUUCUUUAUCGGUUUGAUUAGUCUAAUCGAACCGGUUGGCAACCAUAGCUGCACCAAUAAUUUAAACUUGUCAAGCUAAAGUAUAACUUAGUAAUUCAUUGAGGGGCAACCAUGGGCUUGUAGUCGUUGCCUUCGUGCGGAAGAAAUUCCAAUGCUCAAGAUAACCCAACGCGAUAUGGACAUCCUCUUGCAACAUCUAAUUUGGUAAACUUGUCGAGCUAGAUUUAAAAAAUCUGCGUAUAAAGUCUUUGAACAGAAACUAUGAAUCGACCUAUUGAACUUAUUCCUCAAAUCUACGAUGCGGACAUCCUCCCUCCAUAUCAAGAUUAACUUGAUAAAUAUUAAAGAUCAUGACAUUUUUCAGAAAACUAAGAUUUCAUGACAUUUUAGUACAUGAUCGAAAAUUUAUGCUUUUCAUGGUAAACUUACAAGUGGAAAGUUCAAGAUUCUCUAGAAUAUUAAGCUAAAGAGAUCCGGAAAAUCUACUUUUUUUCAAAAAUGAUUUCUUUUAAAAGAAAAUGAGGACUGUUCGGAUUUUCAUGGUUGUAUAAUGUCCAUUUUCAUAAAUAUAUAUUCCCUCGCUAAAUGUGAAAAUUACAAUUUUGGCCAUAAAACUUAAUAUUUCAAUUUCAGUAUACUUAUAACCAUUACUUGUAAAUAACACGGACUUAUUUGUCAAACUUCAAAUGAUGGAUAAAGCGCGUGCUUGCUGAGUAAAAAAAUCCACACACACACACACACACACACACACACACACACACACACACACACACAUAUAUAUAUAUAUAUAUAAUAUUUUAAAAGAACUGAAAAAAAAUAAAAAAAUUGAUCGGCAAUUGCUUCAGAUGACGAAAUAACUUCAGGCACAAACUUUAAAUUGAACUUAAAUUGAAAUUACAUACUAGCAUUAACAACGAGAAUUAGAGUACCAAACACACCACAUAAACACACGUGCUGUAAAAGGUCAUACCUGAGGACACCAUGCAAAACCAAACGACAGACAUUAGAAUACACAAGCAAGACCACAUAUUUCUACUUUUACUUGGUAGCUAGCUAGCAACUACUUCUUCCGGAGGUCGCUCCACAGGUCGCGGAAGUAGGUUUUGGGGUAUGCGCAUGUCCCUCCCGGGGGCUUUCAUGGUCUUUUCUUCUUCGCCAGGCUUGGACGAGUCGCUCUGCAAGUCGUGGAAGUUGGCAGCGGGGUCCUCCUUGAAGGCACGUUGGGUAUGCGCAUGUCCCUCCCGGGAGCUUUCAUGGUCUUCUCUUCUCCUCUGGGCUUGGACGAGUGGCUCCGCAGGUUGCGGAAGCAGGGAGCGGGGUUCUCCUCGAAGGUACGCCGGGGUAUGCGAGUGUCCCUCCCGGGAGCUUUCAUGGUCUUUUCUUCUCCACUGGGCUUGGACGAGUUGCUCCGCAGGCUGCGGAAGUAGGUAGCGGGGUCCUCCUCGAAGGGACGCCGGGGUAUGCGCAUCUCCCUCCCGGGAGCUUUCAUGGUCUUUUCUUCUCCGGUGGGCUUGGACGAGUUGCUCCACAGGUUGCAGGACCCCUCGAAGGUACGCUGGGGUAUGCGCAUGUCCCUCCCGGGGGCUUUCAUGGCCUUUUCUUCUCCGCUGGGCUUGGACGAGUUGCUCCGCAGGUUGCGGAAGUAGGUAGCGGGAUCCUCCUCGAAGGGACGCCGGGGUAUGCGCAUGUCUCUCCCGGGAGCUUUCAUGGUCUUUUCUUCUCCGCUGGGCUCGGACGAGUUGCUCCGCAGGUUGCGGAAGUAGGUAGCGGGGUCCUCCUCGAAGGGACGCCGGGGUAUGCGCAUGUCCCUCCCGGGAGCUUUCAUGGUCUUUUCUUCUCCGCUGGGCUUGGACGAGUCGCCCGUCAGACUCAUCACGCCCACGCGCACGGCCAAGGCCCAGAUCGCGUCCAUAGGAAUAUGCCUUCGGAUAUGGUAAAAGCUUUGAGGUCUCUUUAGUGUCGAAGUGUGAGUGCUCAAUGCCUUGUUGCUUAGGGUAAGAGGUGAGUCUUUGGGGGUUAAUUUAUAGCCGCUUUGGUGGCUUUGGAGCUUGGACUUGGGAGUAAUUUCAUUGACGUUGAUGUUGACCUUCACUUGGGGCAAUUCGUUGCUUAAUGCUCUCACACCCCCCGCCCCUCUCCCUCCUCUCCCUCCUCUCCCUCCUCUCCCUCUGCGUGUGUGUGUG
This 34721-nucleotide long non-coding RNA is filed under the name Eucalyptus grandis. Its description in RNAcentral is "long non-coding RNA (EGRA_LNC005071)". The record is from RNAcentral. Lineage: Eukaryota; Viridiplantae; Streptophyta; Magnoliopsida; Myrtales; Myrtaceae.